GUGCUCGCUUCAGCAGCACAUAUACUAAAAUUGGAACGAUACAGAGAAGAUUAGCAUUGCCGUUGUGCACAAGGAUGACACAUAUAUUCGUGAAGUGUUCCAUAUUUUU
Molecule: small nuclear RNA, 109 nt
Organism: Mastomys coucha (southern multimammate mouse)
Lineage: Eukaryota; Metazoa; Chordata; Mammalia; Rodentia; Muridae
Source: RefSeq, a predicted model, not a curated record